AUUGAACGCUGGCGGCAUGCCUUACACAUGCAAGUCGAACGGUAACAGGUCUUCGGAUGCUGACGAGUGGCGAACGGGUGAGUAAUACAUCGGAACGUGCCUAGUAGUGGGGGAUAACUACUCGAAAGAGUGGCUAAUACCGCAUGAGAUCUACGGAUGAAAGCGGGGGAUCGCAAGACCUUGUGCUACUAGAGCGGCCGAUGGCAGAUUAGGUAGUUGGUGGGCUAAAAGCUUACCAAGCCGACGAUCUGUAGCUGGUCUGAGAGGACGAUUAGCCGCUCUGGGAAUGGGAGAAGGUCCAGCCUCCUACGGGUGGCAGAAGUGGUGAAUUUUGGACACUGGGCGCAAGGUUGAUCCCGCAAUGCCGCGUGCAGGCUGAAGGCCUUCGAGUUGUACACUGCUUUUAUACGGAACGAAAAGUCCCGGGUUAAUACCCUGGGGUCAUGACGGUACCGUAAGAAUAAGCACCGGCUACGUACGUGCCAGCCGCCGCGGUAA
Molecule: ribosomal RNA, 498 nt
Filed under: uncultured bacterium
Lineage: Bacteria
Description: partial 16S ribosomal RNA
Rfam family: Bacterial small subunit ribosomal RNA
Source: RNAcentral